AGAUGACUUGAAGUGCCAGAGUUUUGCUCAGAGUGAUGACAGCCAGCGAGGCCUGCUGGGACAGCGCUCGGGCCGCGGAGCGGGCUCGGCACUCACCGCCUGCAGGGAGCACAAAGGCUCAGGGUUACCACUUAAACACCGGCAUUUUCUCUCCAUCGUUCCUACACACACGGGGAUUUGCAGAGCUGUUGCUGAACAAUAGGUCUCAGGAUAUAAAAGACAUGCUCGGAAGUUACCCCUUUUUAAGCACGUUAAGGAAAGAGACUUGGAUUUUUUUGCAUUUGCUUCCCUUUUUCUCUGCUUCCAGAUGUCCAAGACUGAAGGUUUUCUCCAGAUUUUUCGCAGUUCCAAAGAAGACUUCAGAUGCUAAAGUAGGAGAGUGAUGCUUGUUUCAUGCUGGAUGUUGAGAGAAGACUGUUUUCUUAAAGAUUCAUCCUUUUAAUGAAUUUAAAUAUAAUAAAGUUUUAGAGCUUUCAGUGGUUGGUUUCA
Cyanistes caeruleus (blue tit) is the source of this 489-nucleotide long non-coding RNA. NCBI's taxonomy places the organism in Eukaryota, Metazoa, Chordata, Aves, Passeriformes, Paridae. The record is from Ensembl.